RNAcentral lists this ribosomal RNA (253 nucleotides) under uncultured bacterium. RNAcentral describes it as "partial 16S ribosomal RNA". It matches the Rfam family "Bacterial small subunit ribosomal RNA", at positions 524 to 776 of the family's 1533-position model. The record is from RNAcentral.
GACGUAGGAGGCGAGCGUUGUCCGGAUUCAUUGGGCGUAAAGAGCGCGCAGGCGGCUUGGCAAGUCGGGUGUGAAAUCCCGGGGCUCAACCCCGGGACUGCAUUCGAUACUGUCAGGCUAGAGGUAGGUAGGGGAGAUCGGAAUUCCUGGUGUAGCGGUGAAAUGCGCAGAUAUCAGGAGGAACACCGGUGGCGAAGGCGGAUCUCUGGGCCUUACCUGACGCUCAGGCGCGAAAGCUAGGGGAGCGAACAGG